UAGUAAUCAACGUGAUAAUCUGCUUGGGUUGGAGAUUCAUUCAUAUUAUACAGUAUAUUUUCUAGUUCUGAUUGUGCAAAAUAGCAGCGAUUCAUACCACUCCACUCCCACAUUUCCAGGGUAGAAUAUUGUCAUAUACAUUAUUACAUGUAUAUAAUUACAUGUAUAAUAUAUAAUUACAUGUAUAAUACAUUAUUACAUGUAUAUGACAAUAUUAUUAUG
This 222-nucleotide long non-coding RNA is filed under the name Bos taurus (domestic cattle). RNAcentral describes it as "long non-coding RNA NONBTAT018526". The record is from RNAcentral. Lineage: Eukaryota; Metazoa; Chordata; Mammalia; Artiodactyla; Bovidae.